UUUAGCAGUUGCAGCGCACUUCAGAAACCCUCCACCUUCCCCAGUUCCACCUGUAUAGAUCUGAAGCCAAGCAGGGUUGAGCCAGGUUAGUACCUGGAUGGGAGAUCUCCUGGGAAAACUAGGUUGCUGCUGGAU
This is a ribosomal RNA of Sinocyclocheilus anshuiensis, 135 nucleotides long. Lineage: Eukaryota; Metazoa; Chordata; Actinopteri; Cypriniformes; Cyprinidae. The record is from Ensembl.